GCGGGAGUAAUUCAGUGGUAGAAUGUCUCGUUGCCAACGAGAAUGUCGCCAGUUCGAACCUGGUCUCCCGCUCCA
RNAcentral lists this transfer RNA (75 nucleotides) under Capsulimonas corticalis. RNAcentral's name for it is "tRNA-Gly". It matches the Rfam family "tRNA". Rfam says of the family: Transfer RNA (tRNA) molecules are approximately 80 nucleotides in length. RNAcentral also lists the same sequence under 2 other names. The record is from RNAcentral. Lineage: Bacteria; Bacillati; Armatimonadota; Armatimonadia; Capsulimonadales; Capsulimonadaceae.